UACGAAGGGGGCUAGCGUUGUUCGGAAUUACUGGGCGUAAAGCGCACGUAGGCGGGUCGUUAAGUCAGGGGUGAAAUCCCAGAGCUCAACUCUGGAACUGCCUUUGAUACUGGCGACCUAGAGUUCGGAAGAGGUUAGUGGAAUUCCCAGUGUAGAGGUGAAAUUCGUAGAUAUUGGGAAGAACACCAGUGGCGAAGGCGGCUAACUGGUCUGAUACUGACGCUGAGGUGCGAAAGCGUGGGGAGCAAACAGG
This 253-nucleotide ribosomal RNA is filed under the name uncultured bacterium. RNAcentral describes it as "partial 16S ribosomal RNA". It matches the Rfam family "Bacterial small subunit ribosomal RNA", at positions 524 to 776 of the family's 1533-position model. The record is from RNAcentral.